This 2120-nucleotide long non-coding RNA is filed under the name Heterocephalus glaber (naked mole-rat). Its description in RNAcentral is "lncRNA (ENSHGLG00100052464.1)". Lineage: Eukaryota; Metazoa; Chordata; Mammalia; Rodentia; Bathyergidae. The record is from RNAcentral.
GGAGUUUGUGGUCCUGAGUUGCACAGUUGUGGGAAACAAAACAACUCUGCCCCAACGCCGCACUAGGACCCCACUUCCUGUGGACUCGGGGACAUCACAGGUGACCCUGAGCCAGGGACGGGAAGGAACGGGCACUGUGAGCUGCAGGCAGCAGACAGCUGCUCUGUCCUCAAGUGCGUCCUCUCCUGUUGUCGGCCACAUUCUUGCAACAGCUCAGGAGGAAGACUGUCGGCUGCCCUUGCGGUGUGGAGCAAACUCUCCCGCAGGUUAUCCGGGGCCACGCCCAGGGCCUCACGAGAGCUGGGAGAAUGUAUACAUUCAUCGGUUGUGGCAUGUUCACGCACUGGAGUACUACACAGCAAGCAAAAAGAAGGAGCAGCUCAUAAAUGCAACAUGGAAAAUCUCAAGAGAAGUUUGAAUGGAGGAAGCCCGAUGGGAAACACGAGUCCUUUCAUGUGCAGUUCGAGAAAGGCACUACUUCGUGGAGAUAGAAAUCACAGUCCAAGGGGUGGUGUCUCGGCAUGUGAUUAUAGUCCCAGCUACUCAAGAGGCUGAGGCAGGGAGAUAGCAAGGCCAAGGUCAGCCUGAACAGCUUACAGACUUUGUCUCAAAAUCAGAAAUAAAAAGGGCUGGAGAUGUAGCUGAGCCCUCCCUGGGUUCAAUCCCCAGUGCUGAAGAAAGACCCAAGAAAUCAGAGCCGGGUGCCUGUGCAGUGGGGAUGACAGCACAGGGACGGGGCUUCGUGGGGGACGGGAAGCUCUGGUCGGAUGGGGAGUGUGGUUAUUUAUCAAGCCCCAGAUUGCACCCUUGACCUCCACACAUUCCAUCCAUCUCCGCGGUUCAAAAGUGACUGCAGUUUGCCAGACCCAGCUCCAGGUGCCGGGCGGGAGGGAGGAGUGGAGUGGGGCUCAGGCUUGGUCAGCAGCUCGGACAGUGCAGAGCAGAAGCGGUGGGAUCGUCCAGGCUUUGUGCAGGCUCGGGGUCCAUCUGGGAAGCUUUUCUCUCUGCCAUGGUGCAGCUGAAAUUUUCCAGAAUGAACAGGUUUUCAAAAAUCAAACGCAAAAGCGAGUUGCACCCGUAAUGUGGAAAAAGCAAAGUAGUUCCACAAAAUGGAAGCCAGCAAGGGAGUUCCUGUCACCACCGCUAUAGAGCAGGGAUUAGAAAUGCUGUAUCAACUACUCAGGAAAAGCAGACGUGAGAGACAAGAGCGUAGCACACAAUCCAAAAAUACCCCGGCUGCCGAGCAUCCUGGUGCACACCUGUGACCCCAGUCCUCUGGGAGGCUGAGGCAGGAGGGUUGCAAGUUUGAGCCCAGCCCGGACAACCCAGCAGUCUAGUUAGAUCCUGCCUCAAAAUAGAAAGUAACAGGGAGGCAGCACGGUGGGAAGGCCUGGGCUCAAUCCCAGGCCCGCAAACAACAGCAGCAACAGCUGAACGGACAUUUUGUCAGACGAGACACAUGGGAAAUCAUCCCGAAGCGUCGCUUAUUAAUCGGCUAAUUAGAAUCCAGUCGCUCGAAAGGAAGGGCCCGGAGAGACUGGUGAGAGGAAACAGCUCCCGCAGCCCAAAGCUGGGGUGGACGCCGCGGGUGCAGCGCGCCAGGCACGCCAGGCACCACACCCUAAGUGGCUCCGCGGUCGACUCGGGCCCUGGCGUCCGUUACCGCGACGACUCCGUGUUCGCGCGCGCGUGCUCGUGAGAGGCUCCAUCGGGUGGGGGCUGGCCCGGGGUCAGCGGCGGGGAGCGGCAGGGCCCGCUUCGGCCGAAAUACUUGGCGACUUCCCUUGGGUUUUCGACGUGGCUGUUCCGUGCGGCAAAGCUGCAGAGCCCCCCGACCCGUGCUGCUCACAGCCCUUGCUGUUUUAUCUGCAGUCGGCGCAAUGGGCAAAGCCUUCGUCAAUGUGUGAUUUCACUUAGAAAUCGACUCCUUUUAACAUUUAAAGGUACACGUGUAAUUUAACACGUAAUUUUACUUUUAAUACUGUACCAUGGCCACCUUUCUGAGGGCCUCGGUAACUCUUAAAUCGAAUAAAUUAAACCCAUAAACAUGAUGAGUCUCAAGCCCCGUUCAAACUUGUGUGUAAACUUAACCAGUCUUCAACACAAAUAUUACAUCGGUU